This is a long non-coding RNA of Tarenaya hassleriana, 1064 nucleotides long. RefSeq lists it as uncharacterized. The record is from RefSeq and is a predicted model, not a curated record. NCBI's taxonomy places the organism in Eukaryota, Viridiplantae, Streptophyta, Magnoliopsida, Brassicales, Cleomaceae. The transcript is spliced from 8 exons.
UGAAGAUCCUGUCAGUUUAGCGUCUCCUAGGGUUCCAAAAGGCAAUAUCAUCUGCAAAUGUUAAACAAAGUCCGGAGAUUCAAGCGCUAUCGAGAUUUGAUAGGGUUCUUCUCCAACGAUCCUUCUCUUGAAUGUCGGUAACAAUUUCGAUAGCCUCCACCACUGUCACCGCCGGAGCUCCGCCGCGUUUCUCUCUACAGUUGCUUCCGCCAAGAAAACCAUGGCGUCGACAUCUUUUUCCGCAUCUGGUGGCGAGCUCAAUGCCGAUAAAAGAAGUUGUAAACUUCGAGAAAGAGAUUAAGAAGAGCAAGUUCAUCGCCAUCGCAGGUAUAUCUGACCGAGUGCUUGACGGUGUGUCAUUAGGUUCGUGAUCCCUGCGCGUCGCACAAUUGUUGGGCUUACAAGAUAGGUGGGCGAUCACUAUCGUUCUAGCGUCGAUGGUGAGCCGUCAGGUACUUUGGAGGCAUUAAACUUGGCACUGGAGUGGCAGAUCACCGGAAAUAUUGGUGAACGGAAAGAGACGCAGAGCUGCUUGCCGUGGAGAGCAUGAUGUGCUAAACGAGGAGAAAUUAAGCGAGUCGGGGAAGAGGCGAGUAGGAAAAUAGAGGAGAUGAGAUUAGAGGGUAAAGAAGAGGCUGGAAAAGCUUAAGAAACCAAAGAUUCCGUCGCAGAGAGGAUUCAUAUAAAAGGUAUAAAAGGAGGAGACGUGAGAAACAAAAAACUCUGUCUUCGCCGAUACAAUGCUCUGGCCAUUCCGCCAGUGGCAGAAAGAGGAAGAAGAAGUGGUAAUUCCUCGAGCUUGUCCGAUCUGGACAGCAAGAAUCAUCAAGAAAGCGGGCAUUGUCCAGGGGACAUAACUCCAUGGACAAGGGAAGAGCUGCAGAGUUGGAGAUGCCUUGUGUCUUUACCAAAGUGGAGGAGCCCAAUGGGAGAAGGGUACAAGGGAUUCUGUAUAAGUAUCUGAAAGGAAGAUGAGGAAAUGAGGAUAAUUUGCAUAUGCCAUGGCAGUUUCCUUUCCCUUGCCGAGUUUGUGAAACACACCGAUCGAGAAGAAGUAGAUCAUC